RNAcentral lists this ribosomal RNA (404 nucleotides) under uncultured bacterium. Its description in RNAcentral is "bacterial SSU rRNA". It matches the Rfam family "Bacterial small subunit ribosomal RNA", at positions 355 to 774 of the family's 1533-position model. The record is from RNAcentral.
UGGGGAAUUUUACGCAAUGGGGGAAACCCUGACGUAGCGACACCGCGUGAGCGAAGAAGCCUUUUGGGGUGUAAAGCUCUGUCAGCUGGAACGAACACAAUGACGGUACCAGCAGAGGAAGCAUCGGCUAACUACGUGCCAGCAGCCGCGGUAAGACGUAGGAUGCAAGCGUUGUCCGGAUUCAUUGGGCGUAAAGAGUUCGUAGGUGGUCUGUUAAGUUUGGUGUUAAAGAGCGGGGCCCAACCCCGAUAGUGCACUGAAUACUGGCAGACUUGAGUGCGGUAGAGGUAAGUGGAAUUCCAAGUGUAGCGGUGAAAUGCAUAGAUAUUUGGAAGAACACAGGUCCGUAAGCGACUUACUGGGCCGUAACUGACACUGAGGAACGAAAGCCGGGGUAGCGAAUG